RNAcentral lists this ribosomal RNA (164 nucleotides) under uncultured bacterium. RNAcentral describes it as "partial 16S rRNA". It matches the Rfam family "Bacterial small subunit ribosomal RNA", at positions 355 to 511 of the family's 1533-position model. The record is from RNAcentral.
UAGGGAAUCUUCCACAAUGGACGCAAGUCUGAUGGAGCAACGCCGCGUGAGUGAAGAAGGUUUUCGGAUCGUAAAGCUCUGUUGUUGGUGAAGAAGGAUAGAGGCAGUAACUGGUCUUUAUUUGACGGUAAUCAACCAGAAAGUCACGGCUAACUACGUGGCAG